AUUGAACGCUGGCGGCAGGCCUAACACAUGCAAGUCGAACGAGUGGCGGACGGGUGAGUAAUGUCUGGGAAACUGCCUGAUGGAGGGGGAUAACUACUGGACCCGGUAGCUACUACCGCAUACCAUCGGAUGUGCCCAGAUGGGCUUAGCUAGUAGGUGGGGUAAAGGCGCACCUAGGCGACGAUCCCUAGCUGGGUUGAGAGGAUGACCAGCCACACUGGAACGGGGACACGGUCCAGAAUCCUACGGGAGGCAGCAGUGGGGAAUAUUGCACAAUGGGCGAAAGCCUGAUGCAGCAAUGCCGCGUGUAUGAAGAAGGCCUUCGGGUUGUAAAGUACUUUCAGCGGGGAGGCGUUACCCGCAGAAGAAGCACCGGCUAACUCCGUGCCAGCAGCCGCGGUAAUAC
RNAcentral lists this ribosomal RNA (406 nucleotides) under uncultured bacterium. Its description in RNAcentral is "partial 16S ribosomal RNA". It matches the Rfam family "Bacterial small subunit ribosomal RNA", at positions 30 to 526 of the family's 1533-position model. The record is from RNAcentral.